RNAcentral lists this ribosomal RNA (617 nucleotides) under uncultured bacterium. RNAcentral describes it as "bacterial SSU rRNA". It matches the Rfam family "Bacterial small subunit ribosomal RNA", at positions 565 to 1195 of the family's 1533-position model. The record is from RNAcentral.
GAGUUGCGUAGGUGGCAGAGUAAGUUGGUAGUGAAAGCGUACGGCUCAACCGUAUAUACAUUACCAAAACUGCUCAGCUAGAGGACGAGAGAGGUAGAUGGAAUUCCUAGUGUAGGGGUAAAAUCCGUUGAUAUUAGGAGGAACACCGAUGGCGUAAGCAGUCUACUGGCUCGUUCCUGACACUCAGGCACGAAAGCGUGGGGAGCAAACGGGAUUAGAUACCCCGGUAGUCCACGCCGUAAACUAUGGAUGCUAGCUGUUAUGGGUAUCGACCCCCGUAGUAGCGAAGCUAACGCGUUAAGCAUCCCGCCUGUGGAGUACGGUCGCAAGACUAAAACAUAAAGGAAUUGACGGGGACCCGCACAAGCGGUGGAGCGUGUUGUUUAAUUCGAUGGUAAGCGAAGAACCUUACCCAGGCUUGACAUCCUUGGAAGCUUUCCGAAAGGAAAGUGUGCUUUAUUGAACCAAGAGACAGGUGAUGCAUGGCCGUCGUCAGCUCGUGUCGUGAGAUGUUUGGUUAAGUCCAUCAACGAGCGCAACCCUUAUAGUUAGUUGAAUUUCUCUAGCUAGACUGCCCUGGUAACAGGGAGGAAGGGGGGGAUGAUGUCAGGUCAGUA